GUGAGGUUUAUGACCCCCCCCAUAAAUACCUUUCCCCCUUUUCUCUAUCUACUCUACAGAAUGGACUCUUGGAAAGCCUUUUAUUAACAUAGAGAGUAUGGUAACAUCAAAAGGUUGGGAAUGGAACAAUAUUUCUGUAAUCCAACCAGUUGAAAGUAUCUGUAGGUACUUAAAGAAUAUGAUGUCAGAUCAGUUGUCGUCUGAGACAUUAUUACUGAUGAUAGGAUGACAAAUUGUAUCUUGGAAAGUCUACACAUUCUAGUUAUCGGAUUCACAUGGAAUUGUUGUGCAAUUUAAAUGUUUAAAUAUGAAACUAUUUCUGAAAAGAUUAAAUGUAAUUUUAGUUUUUAAAACGAGAGAAUUGUUUUCAUAAGUAAAAUAUGCUCACGCAGUGGCCACGCCCAAGUGAAUAGGCAUUGGUUGGAAAUGAUGAACCAACCCCUUUUCUACAUUUCUAUAAGAGCCCCCGUGACCCAAUCCAGGGUGGACUAAGCCAACCCCAGCGUGAGCUGUGGUUGCUAAUGGUUGAACGACUACAACCUAACGAAAUUAACAUUGUGUUCCUGAUGACGUGAGGACUGAUGUCCAUACAUUUAGAAGGGCGAAUUUCAACGUGGAGGUGAUGAUCGCCACGCUGGAAGGAUGAAUUUUGACUACACCAGCCAGAAUAUAGCAUGAGUUGAGUAUGGCAACUUGGUAUGAACAUUGAACUUUUAUUCACUAAAGAAGUGAUACAUCCUAGACGUCGAGUUAUCAGCAGCAGCUGUAAAUGUGCAUGGCCUAGGAAAGGACGGAUAAUCUCUUCAGAACGACAGGGUACUACAACGUAUCCGAACGUACCACACAACGACAGACUAAAACGUAUCCGCCCAGAAAUAUUCUUCAAAGGACAAGGGAGAUCUCUGCUGGGCAACCCAACCCUCCAUCUUCGACCAAUCUAUCGAAGCGCAGCUCAGACCGUCAAAUCGGUUUCGGAACUAUGCCUAGAAGGCCAGCAUCCCGGAGUCGCCUCUUCACUGUUGACGUCGAGACUGGUGUUUUGCGGGUACUAUUUAAUUAAGCUGCCAGUUGAGAACUUGGAGAGGCAUCUGUUUCUCAAACUAGACACUCUAAUGUACUUGUCCUCUUGCUCAGUUGUGCACCGGGCCUCCCCCUCCUCUUUCUAUUCUGGUUAGAGCCAGUUUGCACUGUUCUGUAAAGGGAGUAGUACACAGCGUUGU
Molecule: long non-coding RNA, 1220 nt
Filed under: Salmo salar (Atlantic salmon)
Lineage: Eukaryota; Metazoa; Chordata; Actinopteri; Salmoniformes; Salmonidae
Description: lncRNA (ENSSSAG00000085128.1)
Source: RNAcentral